Cydia amplana is the source of this 208-nucleotide long non-coding RNA. RefSeq lists it as uncharacterized. Lineage: Eukaryota; Metazoa; Arthropoda; Insecta; Lepidoptera; Tortricidae. The transcript has 2 exons. The record is from RefSeq and is a predicted model, not a curated record.
UUUUCACACAAAAAUAGAAAAAAAACAAUAAAUUUUGGGGGUUCCCCAUACUUAGAACUGAAACUCAAAAAAAUUUUUUUCAUCAAAACCAUACGUGUGGUGUUUCUAAUAUCAUUUUUUUCUAAACUGAAUAGUUUGCGCGAGAGAUACUUCCAAAGUCGUAAAAUGUGUCCCCCCCCCCCCCCUGUAACUUCUAAAAUAAGAGAAU